UACGUAGGGGGCAAGCGUUAUCCGGAUUUACUGGGCGUAAAGGGAGCGCAGACGGCAGGGCAAGUCUGAAGUGAAAGCCCGGGGCCCAACCCCGGGACUGCUUUGGAAACUGUCCGGCUGGAGUGCAGGAGGGGUGGGCGGAAUUCCUAGUGUAGCGGUGAAAUGCGUAGAUAUUAGGAGGAACACCGGCGGCGAAGGCGGCCCACUGGACUGCAACUGACGUUGAGGCUCGAAAGCGUGGGGAGCAA
RNAcentral lists this ribosomal RNA (248 nucleotides) under uncultured Lachnospiraceae bacterium. RNAcentral's name for it is "partial 16S ribosomal RNA". It matches the Rfam family "Bacterial small subunit ribosomal RNA", at positions 524 to 771 of the family's 1533-position model. The record is from RNAcentral. Lineage: Bacteria; Bacillati; Bacillota; Clostridia; Lachnospirales; Lachnospiraceae.